ACAUACACAGGAACAAAGAUGAGGAUUGCAUCAGCUUCCUUUCUGCUCUUGCCGGCCUCUACCGGGAGCAGCAAUGCACGCGAACAGACAGAGAAGCAACAUCUGUAAGGUACUGAGGGCAAGGGAAGUUAACCUAGAAUACUCUGCCAGAAAAAAUAAAUUCCCAAAACUGGAAGUGAAGUAAGGACAUUUAGAGACUUGCAAAAGCUGACCGAAUUCACUACCAGCUGACUCACACUACAGAAACGUCAAAGGAGUCUUCCGGGCAGAAGGAAUCCAAUACCAGAUGAAAAUCUAGAUCUACAUGAGGAAAUGAAGAACACCAGAAAUAGGACAUCGGUGGGAUCAAGUGAAAAAGGAGGACCAAGAGGCAACAGGUCCCAGGCUCACCAGGGAGCUGCUGGAUGAGAAAGAGCCUGAAGUCUUGCAGGACUCACUGGAUAGGUGUUAUUUGACUCCUUCAGGUUAUCUUGAACUGCCUGACUUAUGCCAGCCCUACAGAAGUGCCGUUUACUCAUUGGAGGAACAGUAUCUUGGCUUGGCUCUUGAUAUGGACAGCGAGUACCUUACUAUGAAGGUGGUAAGGCUCUACCUGGUCUUCCAGAUAGAGGUGAUAUUCCUGUUCCAAGCGGCCCUU
This is a long non-coding RNA of Symphalangus syndactylus (siamang), 637 nucleotides long. RefSeq lists it as uncharacterized. The record is from RefSeq and is a predicted model, not a curated record. Lineage: Eukaryota; Metazoa; Chordata; Mammalia; Primates; Hylobatidae.